GAGCAGUGGAUAAUGCAGUGGUGAUGUGCUUCAGAACCUGACAUUCUGCCAAAGGCCAGGAGCGUGGAAGGAGCAGGGAAUACUUGUCGCAACAGAUCUGCAUCUUCCGAGGCUUUUAUUAUCAACCUUAAGUAAGCAAAAAAACAAAGAAAUGUUGCAAAAGAGGCAUUUUCCCCAAGCCACUGAACUUGUCUACCAGGGAAAGUGAGUACCAAUGAAGUCAGGAAAGCAGAUAUCAGUGGACCACCUUAUGUCAAGCAAGAGCAUCAAUGAGAUGCAAUCCCGUAUGUGCACAGUGAAUUCUCCAUGACGUUUGACUGAAGGAGAGAGAGACUGUAACAAGUGUAAAGCUUUUUAUUUGGAACGUCUGUAUCAGCUCAGUAUCAGUAAUAUAUAUUUUUUUUCUUAAAAUGAC
This 415-nucleotide long non-coding RNA is filed under the name Struthio camelus australis. Its description in RNAcentral is "lncRNA (ENSSCUG00000008893.1)". The record is from RNAcentral. Lineage: Eukaryota; Metazoa; Chordata; Aves; Struthioniformes; Struthionidae.